GCCCUCGUUGUCUAAUGGCUAUGACGUCAGACUUCUAAUCUGGAGGUUGUGGGUUCGAGUCCCACCGGGGGCU
This is a transfer RNA of Jaapia argillacea, 73 nucleotides long. It matches the Rfam family "tRNA". Rfam says of the family: Transfer RNA (tRNA) molecules are approximately 80 nucleotides in length. The record is from Rfam. NCBI's taxonomy places the organism in Eukaryota, Fungi, Basidiomycota, Agaricomycetes, Jaapiales, Jaapiaceae.